This 976-nucleotide long non-coding RNA is filed under the name Heterocephalus glaber (naked mole-rat). Its description in RNAcentral is "lncRNA (ENSHGLG00100044200.1)". The record is from RNAcentral. Lineage: Eukaryota; Metazoa; Chordata; Mammalia; Rodentia; Bathyergidae.
GACUAUGACGUCACGCGUCCCCACGUCUAUAUUCAGCAAUGGGCGGGGCUCCAAGUGUCCACGCUCUGAGGAGAGUUGGCGACAGGUCCUAGGCCGUGAGUUAACACUGGGGAUUUGGACCCAGGACUUUGUCCUGUGUGACAGCCAAGCACUCUACUACUGAGCUACACUCCCUGCCCAACCUCAAGUACUUCGUUAAUGUCUUCAGAAGAUUGGCCUGCUUUGGAAUAUCAAAUACCUCCUCUUUGGAGGGGAAGGAAGAUGAAAGCAAUGACAUCCACACUCCCCCAGAGCAUCUCCCCAGCACAGCCUGAGCUCUUGCAAUGGGGUUUUGUCGGGAGAGCUCAUCACCUGGAGUGGUCAGGGAGGGCUCAGUCACUGUGCGGUCACUGGGGGAGAAGACCUCGUGGCUUCAGCCUAGCCUGCUGAGGAAGCUCUUGGAGUCAGGGUGUCAGAGGGCUGAGACCCCACAGGAAGUGCAGAGCCGGAUGGGAAGGAGAGGUGACCACAUCCUGCAUUUCUCUGUGGUUCCCCCAGGAACCAGUACUAGGAAUUGAGCUCAGGACCUUGUGCUUGCCAGCAGCAGGCCAGAGUUUGAUUCCUGGCACACCCCUACCCCCAUUGCAGUAAUUAUGAGGCUAAUGGUUGCCAUAUUGGCCAAUGCAGUUCCAAUAAAUCCACCCCUCAGCACCCUCCAUGGAGAACACACAAGGAAAGGUCAUCCCGAGGUCAAACAGGUGCGGUGCAUGGAGGCCCAGGCCUGUAACUCUAGCACCCUGGAGGCUGAGGCAGGAGGAUCCUCAUGAGUUUGAGGCCAGCCUGGGCUACGUAGUGAAUACAAGGCUAGUCUGAACUACAUAGAGACCUUGUCUCAACAAAACAAAACAAAAACCAAGGUCAAGCAGUGGGCGUGUCAGAGGCCAUGUCUUACUUGAGCCAGGUAGGGCCUUUUGGUGGACACAAAGGUGAGAGGUCG